UUUUGUAUGAUCGAUGGUCAGGUGUUUUCUGUCGGCGGGCAGGGCACCACUCCCUCGUUCUGCCAAAGGCAGACCGCCAU
This is a regulatory RNA element of Synechococcus sp. SynAce01, 80 nucleotides long. It matches the Rfam family "Cyanobacterial ribosomal protein S1 leader". From Rfam's summary of the family: cyano-S1 is a ncRNA recognized in the 5-prime region of genes encoding 30S ribosomal protein S1, it has been proposed as an cis regulation element. The record is from Rfam. NCBI's taxonomy places the organism in Bacteria, Bacillati, Cyanobacteriota, Cyanophyceae, Synechococcales, Synechococcaceae.